This 552-nucleotide ribosomal RNA is filed under the name Microporus subaffinis. Its description in RNAcentral is "SSU rRNA". It matches the Rfam family "Bacterial small subunit ribosomal RNA", at positions 397 to 964 of the family's 1533-position model. The record is from RNAcentral. Lineage: Eukaryota; Fungi; Basidiomycota; Agaricomycetes; Polyporales; Polyporaceae.
CCGCGGCGGUUUGUACUAGGCUAACUCCACCUCAUAGAAUUUCUUAAAAUUCAUGAUGUCGUAAGGGAAAAUAAUGAUAUUACCUUACUAUGAGUGUCGUCCAAAUCUGGUGCCAGAAGACUCGGUAAGACCAGAGACGCAAACGUUAAUCAUCAUAAACAGGCGUAAAGGGUUUGUAGGCAGCUUUCACCAGACUAUGAUUACAAAAUAAAGUAGUUUAAUUGAAAGCUAGAAUCAAAAAGAGGUUAUAGUGUAUAACGCCUAGAGGAGGGCUGAUAUCCAUAGAUCCUAGGCAGAAUACUCAGGGCGAAGGCCACUCUCCACUACUGAUUGACGCUGAGAAACGAAGGUUAGGGUAGGAAAUAGGAUUAGAUACCCCGGUACUCCUUUCUGUAAACGAUGAAUGGUAGUCAUUAGUAUGUUUACUAGAGACGAAGUUAACACAAUAACCAUUCCGCCUUGUGAGUACUACUGCAAAGUAGAAAACAAAAAAAUUAGUCGGUCUCGAAGCAAACGGAGUGAAGCAUGUUAUUUAAUUCGUUUAUUCCGCCA